UACGAAGGGGGCUAGCGUUGUCCGGAAUCAUUGGGCGUAAAGAGCGUGUAGGCGGCCCGGUAAGUCCGCUGUGAAAGCCGGGGGCUCAACCCUCGGAUGCCGGUGGAUACUGUCGGGCUCGAGUACGGAAGAGGCGAGUGGAAUUCCUGGUGUAGCGGUGAAAUGCGCAGAUAUCAGGAGGAACACCUAUUGCGAAGGCAGCUCGCUGGGACGUUACUGACGCUGAGACGCGAAAGCGUGGGGAGCAAACAGG
Molecule: ribosomal RNA, 253 nt
Filed under: uncultured bacterium
Lineage: Bacteria
Description: partial 16S ribosomal RNA
Rfam family: Bacterial small subunit ribosomal RNA
Source: RNAcentral